GUCAAAUUAAAUUCACAAGUUAUGUUAAUACUUAUAUUCCUUGAGGCACAGGUCAAGGAGGAAGCAGCUGUUUUCAACUAUAGCCUACAUUUACAUUUGUAAUUUAGCUGACUUUAUCCAUGAAGACAACAAGAAUCAAGAAAGUAGAUUUUUUUCAAGAAAGCCAAACUACACAAGUUCUAUAAGUAUGUGGCGUGGUCUGGAUGUAGACUGGAUUGAUCUGUUCACUGCACGGUACACAAAUACUAGUGUUUUGAAACGGAUGCGGGCAGCCACGGAGCGGACAAGCGGAGUAGUGUCUGUGAAUUUGGGUUGGUUGAAGAACAGUCAAGCUGCUGCAUUUUGGAUGAGUGCCCAAAACAACCUGGAGCUCAACGCUGUGAAGACUGUGGAGAUGGUAGUGGAUUUCCGGAAGAACGCAGCCCCACCCUGAAGAGAGAUAGAAAGAUUGUAUCCCACCCAUCUCAUCCUGGACAAAAUCGGUUUGUGCCCCUUCCAUCUGGCACGAGGCUGAGGUCCAUCAGCACUAAGACCUCUUGCCACCGAAAUAGUUUCUUACCAUUAGCAGUCUGGCUCAGUGACUGACGGACUCUGACAUCCCUUUUUCCUCCGGUCACUCCCUUCACACUAAUGGCUAAUAAUAAAAUGUGCAUGUUCAAAUAAAGUGCUCAAAUUCCAAAAAAAUAAAAUUCUGAGGGCUGACUUUCAUAACCUACAGUAGACUGUUGUAGGUCUUGGUUUGUUGAGCUUGUGGAGAGCAUCUACGCAGCCAUUGUGAUUUUGGAUCCUCAGGCUCUCAACGACCAUCCAUUGGUUGCAUACACAGUGGGAGGGAAGUUGCUGGUGACUCAAAGUGUGCCUGCUCCAUUGAAGUGACACAGAAUGGCUGGAAUACUGCUGCUGGUGAAAAUCUCCAAGAAUGUCCCGUAAAGUGGCACUUCCUGAAGUACCUGAAUCAGUUCAACAGUUGUAAAACAUUCUUCAGGAAAGUCUUGCAAUGCAAGUCUUUUGCUGAAGAGAGCAAAGUGAGGUGAGAUUAACCAUGUCCCUGACCAUCCAGAAAACCAUAAUGAUGACUCACUGGAGGAUGAAAGACUGGCUCUGGUUGAGGAGUUCAAGAAGAAGAAUACGAAUGUUGCACUCAGACAAAAGAUGGAGCUGACUUUCUCUUUGAGGCGCAAUGACAUCGUAGAGCUGCAGCCUAUGGUGUCAGAGGUUCUGGAACGGUGGCCUGCUCUGUUUAGUGAGGCAGAGAUCCUGUCAUCAACAAGAAAUCACCUCAUUCUCUUCACCUGGUCCUCAUGCCCUUCCCACCUGCAACCCAUUCCCUCAUUAGCCCCUCACUAUAUAAGUCCCCACACUUCCACUUGUCCUCUGCCAGAUUGUCUUGUGUGUAUGCAAAGUUUUCCAGCGUUUUCCGAUUACCUAUAUCCCGUCCUGACCUGAUACUAAUUAACACUUUCAAAAAGAAAAGUUAAAUAUGUUCUGCAAUAAUAUUGGCAUGUUAUGCAAUUCAUCCUCAAAACACAGCUGUUGCUUGUCAGAUGCAAUUAAAUGGACGGUAAUAAAAUGCCAUGAUGCCAUCACAAUGCGUAAUGACGCGAUAUGGCUGAUCUUGCGCUCUUAGACGUGGCACAUAGAAGGAUUCGCGCUGUAGUGCAGCGCACCAUCGGCCUGUUUAAGGGCAGAUGGCGCUGCCUCGACUGCACUGGAGGGAGGUUAUUGUUUAUUCCUGAAAAGGUGUGCAACAUCGUGCUGGCAUGUGCUACAUAAUGUGGCACGGCGUUCCAAACGUGCCUCGACCCCCACUGACGCCGAUGGCUGUGUUGGCCCAGACCCUGUCCCCGAUCCCCAAUCAUUGCCACCAGUCUCUCAUCAGGAGGGGAGAGCUCCGGUGUCCCCUUCUCCCCACCAUGUCAGACCAUUUUUUCUUUAUUUCGGCCACGGUCCGAGGUUGUGUAACCUUUUGCCACUCAAGUGCCUUUUUGGCAUUAGUAAUGCCCAUACUGUGCCCCCAAAAAAGCAUUUUACUUCUCCUUUCCACCUCACCAAUGAUAAUUUCGACUUCACACUGAGAAGUUACGUUUCUUCGUUUUCCUUUCAGUGUUUGCCAUGAUUUCGCAAUCGAUGAAAAUUAAUUUGUGGGCGUUCCACAGACUAUAUAUGGGCAACUAUGGGCGUGACAUGAAGCCGCAAAAGCUGCGCUGCAUUUAGAAUUGAUUGUGAUUUAUUAAAGUCUGAAUAUUUCUGUGCGUACGCACGUCCUACGUUUCAUCGGUACGCCACUUCUGGCGCAAAUCCUAC
This is a long non-coding RNA of Gasterosteus aculeatus aculeatus (three-spined stickleback), 2304 nucleotides long. NCBI's taxonomy places the organism in Eukaryota, Metazoa, Chordata, Actinopteri, Perciformes, Gasterosteidae. The record is from Ensembl.